CCUACGGGAGGCAGCAGUGAGGAAUCUUCCACAAUGGGCGAAAGCCUGAUGGAGCAACGCCGCGUGCAGGAUGAAGGCCUUCGGGUUGUAAACUGCUUUUAUAAGUGAGGAAUAUGACGGUAACUUAUGAAUAAGGAUCGGCUAACUACGUGCCAGCAGCCGCGGUCAUACGUAGGAUCCGAGCGUUAUCCGGAGUGACUGGGCGUAAAGAGUUGCGUAGGCGGUUUGUUAAGCGAAUAGUGAAACCUGGUGGCUCAACCAUACAGACUAUUGUUCGAACUGGCAAACUCGAGAGUGGUAGAGGUCACUGGAAUUUCUUGUGUAGGAGUGAAAUCCGUAGAUAUAAGAAGGAACACCAAUGGCGUAGGCAGGUGACUAGACCAUUUCUGACGCUAAGGCACGAAAGCGUGGGGAGCGAACCGGAUUAGAUACCCUGGUAGUC
This 442-nucleotide ribosomal RNA is filed under the name uncultured Candidatus Saccharibacteria bacterium. RNAcentral describes it as "bacterial SSU rRNA". It matches the Rfam family "Bacterial small subunit ribosomal RNA", at positions 338 to 795 of the family's 1533-position model. Lineage: Bacteria; Candidatus Saccharimonadota. The record is from RNAcentral.